CGUAGGGUGCGAGCGUUAAUCGGAAUUACUGGGCGUAAAGCGUGCGCAGGCGGUUUUGUAAGACAGAUGUGAAAUCCCCCGGGCUCAACCUGGGACCUGCAUUUGUGACUGCAAGGCUAGAGUACGGUAGAGGGGGAUGGAAUUCCGCGUGUAGCAGUGAAAUGCGUAGAUAUGCGGAGGAACACCGAUGGCGAAGGCAAUCCCCUGGACCUGUACUGACGCUCAUGCACGAAAGCGUGGGGAGCAAACAGGAUUAGAUACCCUGGUAGUCCACGCCCUAAACGAUGUCAACUGGUUGUUGGGUCUUUACUGACUCAGUAACGAAGCUAACGCGUGAAGUUGACCGCCGUGGGGAGUACGGCCGCAAGGUUG
This 372-nucleotide ribosomal RNA is filed under the name uncultured organism. RNAcentral's name for it is "bacterial SSU rRNA". It matches the Rfam family "Bacterial small subunit ribosomal RNA", at positions 526 to 896 of the family's 1533-position model. The record is from RNAcentral.